RNAcentral lists this RNase P RNA (291 nucleotides) under Mesorhizobium sp. M7A.F.Ca.US.014.04.1.1. Its description in RNAcentral is "partial RNase P RNA component class A". It matches the Rfam family "Bacterial RNase P class A", at positions 114 to 367 of the family's 367-position model. Rfam says of the family: Ribonuclease P (RNase P) is a ubiquitous endoribonuclease, found in archaea, bacteria and eukarya as well as chloroplasts and mitochondria. Its best characterised activity is the generation of mature 5'-ends of tRNAs by cleaving the 5'-leader elements of precursor-tRNAs. The record is from RNAcentral. Lineage: Bacteria; Pseudomonadati; Pseudomonadota; Alphaproteobacteria; Hyphomicrobiales; Phyllobacteriaceae.
GCAAAAAGAAGACCGCCACGAUCCGGCUUGCCGGAUUCGGGGCAAGGGUGAAAGGGUGGGGUAAGAGCCCACCGCGCGACUGGCAACAGGAGCGGCACGGUAAACCCCACCGGGAGCAAGACCGAAUAGGGACGGUGCGAGGGGAAACCCUCGAGGGCUGUUUCCGGCUCACCGUCCGGGUAGGUUGCGUGAGGCGCAUGGCAACAUGCGCCCAAGAUGAAUGGCCGCCACGUUCUCGCCUCGCAAGGGACGAGGGCCAUACAGAACCCGGCUUACAGGCCAGCUGGCAAU